This 253-nucleotide ribosomal RNA is filed under the name uncultured bacterium. RNAcentral describes it as "partial 16S ribosomal RNA". It matches the Rfam family "Bacterial small subunit ribosomal RNA", at positions 524 to 776 of the family's 1533-position model. The record is from RNAcentral.
UACGGGGGGGGCAAGCGUUGUUCGGAAUUACUGGGCGUAAAGGGCUCGUAGGCGGUCAACUAAGUCGGACGUGAAAUCCCUCGGCUUAACCGGGGAACUGCGUCCGAUACUGGAUGGCUUGAGUUCGGGAGAGGGAUGCGGAAUUCCAGGUGUAGCGGUGAAAUGCGUAGAUAUCUGGAGGAACACCGGUGGCGAAGGCGGCAUCCUGGACCGACACUGACGCUGAGGAGCGAAAGCCAGGGGAGCAAACGGG